Molecule: ribosomal RNA, 347 nt
Filed under: Listeria monocytogenes
Lineage: Bacteria; Bacillati; Bacillota; Bacilli; Caryophanales; Listeriaceae
Description: bacterial SSU rRNA
Rfam family: Bacterial small subunit ribosomal RNA
Source: RNAcentral
CUAUCGCUUACAGAUGGGCCCGCGGUGCAUUAGCUAGUUGGUAGGGUAAUGGCCUACCAAGGCAACGAUGCAUAGCCGACCUGAGAGGGUGAUCGGCCACACUGGGACUGAGACACGGCCCAGACUCCUACGGGAGGCAGCAGUAGGGAAUCUUCCGCAAUGGACGAAAGUCUGACGGAGCAACGCCGCGUGUAUGAAGAAGGUUUUCGGAUCGUAAAGUACUGUUGUUAGAGAAGAACAAGGAUAAGAGUAACUGCUUGUCCCUUGACGGUAUCUAACCAGAAAGCCACGGCUAACUACGUGCCAGCAGCCGCGGUAAUACGUAGGUGGCAAGCGUUGUCCGGAUU